UACGUAGGGUGCAAGCGUUAAUCGGAAUUACUGGGCGUAAAGCGUGCGCAGGCGGUUUUGUAAGUCUGACGUGAAAUCCCCGGGCUCAACCUGGGAAUUGCGUUGGAGACUGCAAGGCUAGAAUCUGGCAGAGGGGGAUGGAAUUCCACGUGUAGCAGUGAAAUGCGUAGAGAUGUGGAGGAACACCGAUGGCGAAGGCAGCCCCCUGGGUCAAGAUUGACGCUCAUGCACGAAAGCGUGGGGAGCAAACAGG
Molecule: ribosomal RNA, 253 nt
Filed under: uncultured bacterium
Lineage: Bacteria
Description: partial 16S ribosomal RNA
Rfam family: Bacterial small subunit ribosomal RNA
Source: RNAcentral